UGAGGAAUAUUGGACAAUGGGCGCAAGCCUGAUCCAGCCAUGCCGCGUGCAGGAAGAAGCAUCUAUGGUGUGUAAACUGCUUUUGUACGGGAAGAAACACUCCUACGUGUAGGAGCUUGACGGUACCGUAAGAAUAAGGAUCGGCUAACUCCGUGCCAGCAGCCGCGGUAAUACGGAGGAUCCAAGCGUUGUCCGGAAUCAUUGGGUUUAAAGGGUCCGUAGGCGGUUUAGUAAGUCAGUGGUGAAAGCCCAUCGCUCAACGAUGGAACGGCCAUUGAUACUGCUAGACUUGAAUUACAAGGAAGUAACUAGAAUAUGUAGUGUAGCGGUGAAAUGCUUAGAUAUUACAUGGAAUACCAAUUGCGAAGGCAGGUUACUACUUGUGGAUUGACGCUGAUGGACGAAAGCGUGGGAAGCGAACA
This 422-nucleotide ribosomal RNA is filed under the name uncultured bacterium. Its description in RNAcentral is "bacterial SSU rRNA". It matches the Rfam family "Bacterial small subunit ribosomal RNA", at positions 355 to 774 of the family's 1533-position model. The record is from RNAcentral.